UUAUGCAAACCUAUCUAAAAUGCAACCUGCAAUCUCUAAUAAAAUAAACGUGUAACAAAUUUGAAUUUAAAUAAUAUUUAUAUCGCAAAUAGUUUCUGUUAACUGUGAUGAAGUUGAGAAGAUCAUUGAGAUUUGAUUCAAUUUUUCUCUCUAUCGUACUUGGUGUAAUUGGUGGUCUUUACAUUUGGGCACCUAUAUUGAAAGAAUUAAAAAUUAAAAAUGACAAACGAGAACAGUCCAUUACAGAAACUGUCGACAAUGAAUCAUGGGAAGAUUAAAAUUGCAAUCGGAUUUAUAGCAGUAUAUUUUUCUAUUGUAGGAAUCAAAAUAAAAUUACUACCAUAUUUAAAGA
Molecule: long non-coding RNA, 352 nt
Organism: Polistes dominula (European paper wasp)
Lineage: Eukaryota; Metazoa; Arthropoda; Insecta; Hymenoptera; Vespidae
Source: RefSeq, a predicted model, not a curated record